AGUGAACGCUGGCGGUAGGCCUAACACAUGCAAGUCGAACGGCAGCACAGUAAGAGCUUGCUCUUACGGGUGGCGAGUGGCGGACGGGUGAGGAAUACAUCGGAAUCUACUUUUUCGUGGGGGAUAACGUAGGGAAACUUACGCUAAUACCGCAUACGACCUACGGGUGAAAGCAGGGGAUCUUCGGACCUUGCGCGAUUGGAUGAGCCGAUGUCGGAUUAGCUAGUUGGCGGGGUAAAGGCCCACCAAGGCGACGAUCCGUAGCUGGUCUGAGAGGAUGAUCAGCCACCCUGGAACUGAGACACGGUCCAGACUCCUACGGGAGGCAGCAGUGGGGAAUAUUGGACAAUGGGCGCAAGCCUGAUCCAGCCAUACCGCGUGGGUGAAGAAGGCCUUCGGGUUGUAAAGCCCUUUUGUUGGGAAAGAAAAGCAGCAGGUUAAUACCCCGCUGUUCUGACGGUACCCAAAGAAUAAGCACCGGCUAACUUCGUG
RNAcentral lists this ribosomal RNA (492 nucleotides) under uncultured bacterium. RNAcentral's name for it is "partial 16S ribosomal RNA". It matches the Rfam family "Bacterial small subunit ribosomal RNA", at positions 29 to 507 of the family's 1533-position model. The record is from RNAcentral.